This is a non-coding RNA of Pelobates cultripes (western spadefoot toad), 215 nucleotides long. Lineage: Eukaryota; Metazoa; Chordata; Amphibia; Anura; Pelobatidae. The record is from the annotation of a GenBank genome assembly.
CAUGCUACCAGGACUACCCCUUAAUACCACAAUACCAGGACUGCCACCACUAAAUAUCAUGCUACCAGGACUGCCCCCACUAAUACCACAAUACCAGGACUGCCCCUUAAUACCACAAUAACAGGACAACCCCCCCCCCUUAAUACCUCAAUACCAGGACUGCCCCUUAAAUAUCAUGCUACCAGGAUUACUACCGAAUGGCGCUCAGAUCCAAU